AGUGAACGCUGGCGGCAGGCCUAACACAUGCAAGUCGAGCGGCAGCGCGGGGGCAACCCUGGCGGCGAGCGGCGGACGGGUGAGGAAUUCGUCGGAAUCUGCCUUUUUGUGGGGGAUAACGUAGGGAAACUUACGCUAAUACCGCAUACGUCCUACGGGAGAAAGUGGGGGACCGCAGGCCUCACGCAGAAAGAUGAGCCGACGACCGAUUAGCUAGUUGGUGGGGUAAAGGCCCACCAAGGCGACGAUCGGUAGCUGGUCUGAGAGGAUGAUCAGCCACACUGGGACUGAGACACGGCCCAGACUCCUACGGGAGGCAGCAGUGGGGAAUAUUGGACAAUGGGCGCAAGCCUGAUCCAGCCAUGCCGCGUGUGUGAAGAAGGCCUUCGGGUUGUAAAGCACUUUUGUCCGGAAAGAAAUCCCUGGAGCUAAUACCUUCGGGGGAUGACGGUACCGGAAGAAUAAGCACCGGCUAACUUCGUG
This 483-nucleotide ribosomal RNA is filed under the name uncultured bacterium. RNAcentral describes it as "partial 16S ribosomal RNA". It matches the Rfam family "Bacterial small subunit ribosomal RNA", at positions 29 to 507 of the family's 1533-position model. The record is from RNAcentral.